Molecule: ribosomal RNA, 1949 nt
Filed under: human gut metagenome
Description: bacterial LSU rRNA
Rfam family: Bacterial large subunit ribosomal RNA
Source: RNAcentral
UCAAGCGAAGAAGGGCGCAGGGCGGAUGCCUUGGCACUGAGAGCCGAUGAAAGACGUGAUAAGCUGCGAUAAGCUUCGGGGAGGAGCAAAUAUCCUUUGAUCCGGAGAUCUCUGAAUGGGGAAACCCGGCUGUAUGGACUACAGUCAUCCAUAAGUGAAUCCAUAGCUUAUGGAAGGGAACCCGGGGAACUGAAACAUCUAAGUACCCGGAGGAAGAGAAAGAAACAUUCGAUUCCGUAAGUAGCGGCGAGCGAACGCGGAAGAGCCCAAACCGUGAUGCGUGCAUCGCGGGGUUCGGACUGCAUAAGGGAUUCAGUAACGGCAGGAGAACGGCUUUGGAACAGCCGGCCAGAGAGGGUGAGAGCCCCGUAUCCGAAGCCAGAGCUGACCCGGCAGGAUCCAGAGUACCACGGGACACGGGAAACCCUGUGGGAACGAGCGGAGACCACUCCGUAAGGCUAAAUACUACUCAGUGACCGAUAGCGUAUAGUACUGUGAAGGAAAGGUGAAAAGAACCCCGGGAGGGGAGUGAAAGAGAACCUGAAACCCUGUGUCUACAAGCUGUGGAAGUACUUCUCAGGUACGACCGCGUACUUUUUGUAGAACGGUCCGGCGAGCUGCGGGUACUGGCAAGGUUAAGCACUUCAGGUGCGGAGCCGUAGGGAAACCAAGUCUUAAGAGGGCGUUUUAGUCAGUACGUGCAGGCCCGAAACCGGGUGACCUAUCCAUGUCCAGGUUGAAGCCGCCGUAAAAGGCGAUGGAGGACCGAACCCACAUCCGUUGAAAAGGGUGGGGAUGAGGUGUGGAUAGCGGAGAAAUUCCAAUCGAACCCGGAGAUAGCUGGUUCUCCUCGAAAUAGCUUUAGGGCUAGCCUCAUACAAGUCUGCCGGAGGUAGAGCACUGAAUUUCCGCGGGGGCGUCAAAGCCUACCAAAGAAUAUCAAACUCCGAAUGCCGGACAGAUGGUGUAUGGGAGUCAGACUGUACGAGAUAAGUUGGACAGUCAAAAGGGAAAGAGCCCAGACCGCCGGCUAAGGUCCCAAAGUGGGUGUUAAGUGGAAAAGGAUGUGGGAUCUCUAAGACAACCAGGAUGUUGGCUCAGAAGCAGCCAUUCAUUAAAAGAGUGCGUAACAGCUCACUGGUCGAGAGGUCCUGCGCCGAAAAUGUCCGGGGCUGAAACACCACACCGAAGCCGCGGAACCCGUAAGGGUUGGUAGAGGAGCAUUCUUAGGGGAGCGAAGCAUUACCGGAAGGGGAUGUGGACUGCUAAGAAGAGAGAAUGCCGGAAUGAGUAGCGAGAGCAAGGUGGGAAUCCUUGCGGCCGAAUAUCCAAGGUUUCCAGAGUAAAGCUGAUCUGCUCUGGGUAAGUCGGGGCCUAAGGAGAGGCAGAGAUGCGUAUCCGAUGGACAGCAGGUUUAAGAUUCCUGCACCCCUUGUUAUCAGAACUGCGGGGACACGGGAAGGGAAGCAGAGCCGGGAAUGGAAAGCCCGGUGCAAGCGAAGUAGUCGCAGGGUUGGAAAAUCCGCCCUGCAUGAGACGAAGGCGUGAUGCGGAGCGAAAUGAAGUAGUGAAGCUGCGGCCCCUUCCUGUCGAGAAAAGCCGCUAUCGUGUAGCAAGGGCCCGUACCGUAAACCGACACAGGUGGAUGAGGAGAGGAUCCUAAGGCCGGCGGGAGAAGUGUUGUUAAGGAACUCGGCAAAAUGACUCCGUAACUUCGGGAGAAGGAGUGCUGCGCAAGCAGCCGCAGAGAAAUGGCCCAAGCAACUGUUUAGCAAAAACACAGGUCUAUGCGAAACCGAAAGGUGAGGUAUAUGGGCUGACGCCUGCCCGGUGCUGGAAGGUUAAGGGGAGAGGUUAGCGCAAGCGAAGCUUUGAACUUAAGCCCCAGUAAACGGCGGCCGUAACUAUAACGGUCCUAAGGUAGCGAAAUUCCUUGUCGGGUAAGUUCC